Molecule: long non-coding RNA, 1481 nt
Organism: Esox lucius (northern pike)
Lineage: Eukaryota; Metazoa; Chordata; Actinopteri; Esociformes; Esocidae
Source: Ensembl
GCCGGAUCAGAUGGGACCAGAGCAGUGUCUGCCACAAGAUCCACUCUAACUACAACAUCAAGACCUGACAAUCAUCCAGGAAUCAGACCAUGGACUACACCACAGCAAGCAUCAAUGAGUGGUUUUGUCAGAAGGCCGGUGGAUCUUCUGAAACAAAACUAGUUUAAUGCUGCUCUUGUAGAAAUGGUUGCUACUGAUUUACACUCUUUUUCAAUAGUUCAAGACAGGGGAUUCAGGAAAUACAGAAAGACACUGUACUACAGUAUGUUCUAUCCAGUAGGACUACCAUCUCCAGGAAAAUCACUCCAAAGCGUUUGGAAAAGAUCAGAAAAAAAAAAAAUUUAAGUUGAAAAGGAAAAGUUUUGAGUAAGGAACAGAAGCUUUCAAUUUACAGUGGUCUAUUCAUUUUAACCCUUCUGUUCCUCACUGAAAACCUUCCUUUUCUACUUUUUUAGAAAGGAAAGAAAAAGGUGCAGUGGUCUCUUAUUCCGGAGCUGUAGAAACAUUUUUAAAAUGCCCCAGCAGUGUGUCUCACUACAGACUGCUGGACAUCAAUGCCAACAACCAGCUAUAUGUCCAUCACAUGCCACUACUUAGAACACUUUAAAUUGUCCUCUCACCUCCUGGACUGUUUUUACUGAGAGGCACACUGCAACUCACCUAGCAAGUGAACUGACAAGAAUUUGUGACAGCAUCCAAAGCCAUUCUAAUGGCAAAAGGCCUCCAGAGGAUUAUGGCAAGGAGGCAAAGGACACCCUCCAUCCAUGAGCCAAUCCAGAAAUUGGUCAACUGCUUGGCCAAUCAGCUCAACAGUCACUUUGGCAGUGUGGAGUUUGAUGGGAGAUUGGCAGAUGCAAACCUUUUGGACCCUAGGUUAAAAAACAGGCAUUUGUUAACAUCCAAGCCGGGGAUGAAGCUGUGAAAAGGGUAAGAGCAGCUGCAACAAGUGCCCAUCUCAGCACAAGUGGGGGGCUAGUUUCUGGGAAGACUUUGAUGAAAGAGUGGCCAGCAGGAGAGCCAGACCUACUUCAAGAAACACCAGCUCUGAGGCCAUGACAGAAAUAAGGGCUUACCUGGCCGAGCCCCUUAUCCCCCGGACAGAUGAUUCUCUGGCAAGGUGGAAAACACGUGCAGAUGUGUAUAAUCUCUGUGAAAUUAUGAAGCACAGGCUUUGCAUUGUAGCGACAUCUGUUCCAUCAGAAUGGAUUUUCUCCAAAGCUGAACAAAUUGUGACAGAGGAGAAACAGGCUCAGUCCAACAAAGGUAUGGGAGCUUGUUUUCCUCAAUGCCAACAUUGAGUAGAGGUGAUCUUGCUCAUUGAUUGUAAAUAGUUUAAAGCACUUUUGCACAUUUAACAUUUUGGUUUUACUGUUAUUUUCAUUUAUUCUGUUUAUUAUAUUGAAACAUUCACUUUGCACAGCUUUUGAUAAGUAGUUGUAUUUAUUUUAAUGUAAGUUAUACCGUAUUGUGAUGAAUACAAG